Molecule: ribosomal RNA, 458 nt
Filed under: Escherichia coli
Lineage: Bacteria; Pseudomonadati; Pseudomonadota; Gammaproteobacteria; Enterobacterales; Enterobacteriaceae
Description: partial 23S ribosomal RNA
Rfam family: Bacterial large subunit ribosomal RNA
Source: RNAcentral
GGAGGUUAGUGCAAUGGCAUAAGCCAGCUUGACUGCGAGCGUGACGGCGCGAGCAGGUGCGAAAGCAGGUCAUAGUGAUCCGGUGGUUCUGAAUGGAAGGGCCAUCGCUCAACGGAUAAAAGGUACUCCGGGGAUAACAGGCUGAUACCGCCCAAGAGUUCAUAUCGACGGCGGUGUUUGGCACCUCGAUGUCGGCUCAUCACAUCCUGGGGCUGAAGUAGGUCCCAAGGGUAUGGCUGUUCGCCAUUUAAAGUGGUACGCGAGCUGGGUUUAGAACGUCGUGAGACAGUUCGGUCCCUAUCUGCCGUGGGCGCUGGAGAACUGAGGGGGGCUGCUCCUAGUACGAGAGGACCGGAGUGGACGCAUCACUGGUGUUCGGGUUGUCAUGCCAAUGGCACUGCCCGGUAGCUAAAUGCGGAAGAGAUAAGUGCUGAAAGCAUCUAAGCACGAAACUUGCC